RNAcentral lists this ribosomal RNA (301 nucleotides) under uncultured bacterium. RNAcentral's name for it is "partial 16S ribosomal RNA". It matches the Rfam family "Bacterial small subunit ribosomal RNA", at positions 509 to 807 of the family's 1533-position model. The record is from RNAcentral.
CAGUCGCCGCGGGAAUACAGAGGAUGCAAGCGUUAUCCGGAAUGAUUGGGCGUAAAGCGUCUGUAGGUGGCGUGACAAGUCGGGUGUGAAAGCCCUCAGCUCAACUGAGGAAGUGCGCCCGAAACUGUCGUGCUUGAGUGCCGGAGAGGGUGGCGGAAUUCCCCAAGUAGAGGUGAAAUUCGUAGAUAUGGGGAGGAACACCGGUGGCGAAGGCGGCCACCUGGACGGUAACUGACGCUGAGACGCGAAAGCGUGGGGAGCAAACAGGAUUAGAUACCCGAGUAGUCCCUGUCUCUUAUAC